UAACAAGAGGAAAAAUUUGAACUGAUUGCAACCUCUUAAGCUGAAAUGAAUUCAGUUUAAACAAAAAUGCUAAAGCAGAAAGU
OM182 bacterium is the source of this 83-nucleotide non-coding RNA. The record is from Rfam. Lineage: Bacteria; Pseudomonadati; Pseudomonadota; Gammaproteobacteria.